RNAcentral lists this ribosomal RNA (860 nucleotides) under uncultured bacterium. RNAcentral describes it as "bacterial SSU rRNA". It matches the Rfam family "Bacterial small subunit ribosomal RNA", at positions 76 to 951 of the family's 1533-position model. The record is from RNAcentral.
CCCUUCGGGGUACUCGAGUGGCGAACGGGUGAGUACACGUGGGUGAUCUGCCCUGCACUUUGGGAUAAGCCUGGGAAACUGGGUCUAAUACCGAAUAUGACCAUGCGNCNNNNGGUGUGUGGUNGNNNGCUUUUGCGGUGUGGGAUGGGCCCGCGGCCUAUCAGCUUGUUGGUGGGGUAAUGGCCUACCAAGGCGACGACGGGUAGCCGGCCUGAGAGGGUGACCGGCCACACUGGGACUGAGAUACGGCCCAGACUCCUACGGGAGGCAGCAGUGGGGAAUAUUGCACAAUGGGCGCAAGCCUGAUGCAGCGACGCCGCGUGAGGGAUGACGGCCUUCGGGUUGUAAACCUCUUUCAGCACAGACGAAGCGCAAGUGACGGUAUGUGCAGAAGAAGGACCGGCCAACUACGUGCCAGCAGCCGCGGUAAUACGUAGGGUCCGAGCGUUGUCCGGAAUUACUGGGCGUAAAGAGCUCGUAGGUGGUUUGUCGCGUUGUUCGUGAAAACUCACAGCUUAACUGUGGGCGUGCGGGCGAUACGGGCAGACUUGAGUACUGCAGGGGAGACUGGAAUUCCUGGUGUAGCGGUGGAAUGCGCAGAUAUCAGGAGGAACACCGGUGGCGAAGGCGGGUCUCUGGGCAGUAACUGACGCUGAGGAGCGAAAGCGUGGGGAGCGAACAGGAUUAGAUACCCUGGUAGUCCACGCCGUAAACGGUGGGUACUAGGUGUGGGCUUCCUUCCUUGGGAUCCGUGCCGUAGCUAACGCAUUAAGUACCCCGCCUGGGGAGUACGGCCGCAAGGCUAAAACUCAAAGAAAUUGACGGGGGCCCGCACAAGCGGCGGAGCAUGUGGAUUAAUU